Molecule: ribosomal RNA, 1361 nt
Filed under: uncultured bacterium
Lineage: Bacteria
Description: bacterial SSU rRNA
Rfam family: Bacterial small subunit ribosomal RNA
Source: RNAcentral
AUUGAACGCUGGCGGCAGGCCUAACACAUGCAAGUCGAGCGGUAGCACAGAGAGCUUGCUCUCGGGUGACGAGCGGUGGACGGGUGAGUAAUGUCUGGGAAACUGCCUGAUGGAGGGGGAUAACUACUGGAAACGGUAGCUAAUACCGCAUAACGUCGCAAGACCAAAGUGGGGGACCUUCGGGCCUCAUGCCAUCAGAUGUGCCCAGAUGGGAUUAGCUAGUAGGUGGGGUAACGGCUCACCUAGGCGACGAUCCCUAGCUGGUCUGAGAGGAUGACCAGCCACACUGGAACUGAGACACGGUCCAGACUCCUACGGGAGGCAGCAGUGGGGAAUAUUGCACAAUGGGCGCAAGCCUGAUGCAGCCAUGCCGCGUGUGUGAAGAAGGCCUUCGGGUUGUAAAGCACUUUCAGCGGGGAGGAAGGCGUUAAGGUUAAUAACCUUGGCGAUUGACGUUACCCGCAGAAGAAGCACCGGCUAACUCCGUGCCAGCAGCCGCGGUAAUACGGAGGGUGCAAGCGUUAAUCGGAAUUACUGGGCGUAAAGCGCACGCAGGCGGUCUGUCAAGUCAGAUGUGAAAUCCCCGGGCUCAACCUGGGAACUGCAUUCGAAACUGGCAGGCUAGAGUCUUGUAGAGGGGGGUAGAAUUCCAGGUGUAGCGGUGAAAUGCGUAGAGAUCUGGAGGAAUACCGGUGGCGAAGGCGGCCCCCUGGACAAAGACUGACGCUCAGGUGCGAAAGCGUGGGGAGCAAACAGGAUUAGAUACCCUGGUAGUCCACGCCGUAAACGAUGUCGAUUUGGAGGUUGUGCCCUUGAGGCGUGGCUUCCGGAGCUAACGCGUUAAAUCGACCGCCUGGGGAGUACGGCCGCAAGGUUAAAACUCAAAUGAAUUGACGGGGGCCCGCACAAGCGGUGGAGCAUGUGGUUUAAUUCGAUGCAACGCGAAGAACCUUACCUGGUCUUGACAUCCACAGAACUUUCCAGAGAUGGAUUGGUGCCUUCGGGAACUGUGAGACAGGUGCUGCAUGGCUGUCGUCAGCUCGUGUUGUGAAAUGUUGGGUUAAGUCCCGCAACGAGCGCAACCCUUAUCCUUUGUUGCCAGCGGUUAGGCCGGGAACUCAAAGGAGACUGCCAGUGAUAAACUGGAGGAAGGUGGGGAUGACGUCAAGUCAUCAUGGCCCUUACGACCAGGGCUACACACGUGCUACAAUGGCAUAUACAAAGAGAAGCGACCUCGCGAGAGCAAGCGGACCUCAUAAAGUAUGUCGUAGUCCGGAUUGGAGUCUGCAACUCGACUCCAUGAAGUCGGAAUCGCUAGUAAUCGUAGAUCAGAAUGCUACGGUGAAUACGUUCCCGGGCCU